GAUGAACGCUGGCGGCGUGCCUAAUACAUGCAAGUCGAGCGAACAGACGAGGAGCUUUCUCCUCUGACGUUAGCGGCGGACGGGUGAGUAACACGUGGAUAACCUACCUAUAAGACUGGGAUAACUUCGGGAAACCGGAGCUAAUACCGGAUAAUAUAUUGAACCGCAUGGUUCAAUAGUGAAAUACGGUUUUGCUGUCACUUAUAGAUGGAUCCGCGCCGAAUUAGCUAGUUGGUAAGGUAACGGCUUACCAAGGCAACGAUGCGUAGCCGACCUGAGAGGGUGAUCGGCCACACUGGAACUGAGACACGGUCCAGACUCCUACGGGAGGACGCAGUAGGGACUCUUACGCAAUGGGCGAGAGCCUGACGGAGCACCGCGGCGUGAGUGAUGAAGGUCUUCGGAUCGUAAAACUCUGUUAGUAGGGAAGAACAAAUGUGUAAGUAACUAUGCACGUAUUGACGGUACCUAAUCAGAAAGCCCCGGCUAACUACGUG
This 497-nucleotide ribosomal RNA is filed under the name uncultured bacterium. Its description in RNAcentral is "partial 16S ribosomal RNA". It matches the Rfam family "Bacterial small subunit ribosomal RNA", at positions 28 to 507 of the family's 1533-position model. The record is from RNAcentral.